This 253-nucleotide ribosomal RNA is filed under the name uncultured bacterium. RNAcentral describes it as "partial 16S ribosomal RNA". It matches the Rfam family "Bacterial small subunit ribosomal RNA", at positions 524 to 776 of the family's 1533-position model. The record is from RNAcentral.
UACGUAGGGUGCGAGCGUUAAUCGGAAUUACUGGGCGUAAAGCGUACGUAGGCGGCUCUUUAAGUCGGGGGUGAAAUCCUGGAGCUCAACUCCAGAACUGCCUUCGAUACUGAAGAGCUCGAGUCCGGGAGAGGUGAGUGGAACUGCGAGUGUAGAGGUGAAAUUCGUAGAUAUUCGGAGGAACACCAGUGGCGAAGGCGGCUCACUGGCCCGGUACUGACGCUGAGGUGCGAAAGCGUGGGGAGCAAACAGG